UACGUAGGGGGCAAGCGUUGUCCGGAAUCAUUGGGCGUAAAGCGCGCGUAGGCGGCCCGGUAAGUCCGUUGUGAAAGUCAAAGGCUCAACCUUUGAACGCCGAUGGAUACUGCCGGGCUAGAGUCCGGAAGAGGCGAGUGGAAUUCCUGGUGUAGCGGUGGAAUGCGCAGAUAUCAGGAGGAACACCAAGAGCGAAGGCAGCGCGCUGGGACGGUACUGACGCUGAGGCGCGAAAGCGUGGGGAGCGAACAGG
Molecule: ribosomal RNA, 253 nt
Filed under: uncultured bacterium
Lineage: Bacteria
Description: partial 16S ribosomal RNA
Rfam family: Bacterial small subunit ribosomal RNA
Source: RNAcentral